GAUGAACGCUGGCGGCGUGCCUAAUACAUGCAAGUCGAGCGAACGGACGAGAAGCUUGCUUUUCUGAUGUUAGCGGCGGACGGGUGAGUAACACGUGGAUAACCUACCUAUAAGACUGGGAUAACUUCGGGAAACCGGAGCUAAUACCGGAUAAUAUUUUGAACCGCAUGGUUCAAAAGUGAAAGACGGUCUUGCUGUCACUUAUAGAUGGAUCCGCGCUGCAUUAGCUAGUUGGUAAGGUAACGGCUUACCAAGGCAACGAUGCAUAGCCGACCUGAGAGGGGGGUUGGCCCCACUGGAACUUAGGCACGGUCCAGACUCCUACGGGAGGCCGCAGUAGGGAAUCUUCCGCAAUGGGCGAAAGCCUGGCGGAGCAACGCCGCGUGAGUGAUGAAGGUCUUCGGAUCGUAAAACUCUGUUAUUAGGGAAGAACAUAUGUGUAAGUAACUGUGCACAUCUUGACGGUACCUAAUCGGAAAGCCACGGCUAACUACGUG
This 497-nucleotide ribosomal RNA is filed under the name uncultured bacterium. Its description in RNAcentral is "partial 16S ribosomal RNA". It matches the Rfam family "Bacterial small subunit ribosomal RNA", at positions 28 to 507 of the family's 1533-position model. The record is from RNAcentral.